This 465-nucleotide ribosomal RNA is filed under the name uncultured bacterium. RNAcentral's name for it is "partial 16S ribosomal RNA". It matches the Rfam family "Bacterial small subunit ribosomal RNA", at positions 28 to 507 of the family's 1533-position model. The record is from RNAcentral.
GACGAACGCUGGCGGCGUGCUUAACACAUGCAAGUCGAACGGAAAGGCCCCUUUGGGGGUACUCGAGUGGCGAACGGGUGAGUAACACGUGAGUAACCUGCCCUUGACUUCGGGAUAACUUCAGGAAACUGGGGCUAAUACCGGCUAGGAAUCCUUGCUGCAUGGUGGGGGUUGGAAAGCUUCGGCGGUUUUGGAUGGACUCGCGGCUUAUCAGCUUGUUGGUGGGGUAGUGGCUUACCAAGGCUUUGACGGGUAGCCGGCCUGAGAGGGCGACCGGCCACAAUGGGACUGAGAUACGGCCCAGACUCCUACGGGAGGCAGCAGGGGGGGAUAUUGCACAAUGGGCGGAAGCCUGAUGCAGCAACGCCGCGUGCGGGAUGACGGCCUUCGGGUUGGAAACCGCUUUCAGCAGGGGCGAAGCUUGUGGUGACGGUACCUGCAGAAGAAGCACCGGCUAACUACGUG